This is a long non-coding RNA of Gasterosteus aculeatus aculeatus (three-spined stickleback), 814 nucleotides long. The record is from Ensembl. NCBI's taxonomy places the organism in Eukaryota, Metazoa, Chordata, Actinopteri, Perciformes, Gasterosteidae.
CGGACCAAACCCCUGCUUCAUCUCGCCAUCAGUUUGGGGGUCCUUGGCCUGAAAAACCUUGAAGACCCCUGCUCUAUUAUGUUACCUGCAUCAUCAUUUCUCCUGUUUUUCUCCUGCACAAAUACCUCAUCCACAAUCCGUUGUUCUCAUCCCACACGGUGCGAGCAGUGGGAUGCCGUAAAGGUGCCUGCCAGCAGGGUGUCUUGCUCAGGGGCACUUCGACAUGGGACAGGGAGCAGCCAGGGUUCAAACCACCAACCCUGAAGUUCCCGGCUCACCCUCUCUUCUCCAUGCCAUUGAUCUUUCCUGCAGUACAACCGGUGACCAGCAGGUGGCACUGUAACACCAUCUAUCCACCAAGCUCCUCUCAUCUUCUCUCCUUGUCGUCAUCAGAGAAACUACAUGGACACACGCAUGUACUGGCUUUAUUGUCCAUUCAAAGCCUCAAACUGAUGCAGUUUAUAAAAAACUUAAACAUAGUCUAAUAUGUUCUUGUGUGUCUGCUACUUUAAUUGAUGUUUGAAUUUGAAACAGCUGGCUUUCAUUAAGGCCCAGACUCCUGGGUUUUUGUAAGAAUUUAUCAAAGAAUUCGUGAAAAGAGCAUUUCUAACUUUCUAAUAUAUUAAUUAGACUUUCACACUCUGCAAGUGCUUCUCUUCCCUUCUCUUACUCAUCUCACCAUUAAUGAAAUAUCAUAACAGAAUUGAUGUGAGAAGACCAAAAGCAAUUAAUGCAGGGAAGUGCAGGGGCCCAGCAGGAAUGGAUUUGCGUGAAAAAAAAAAGUAAUAAUCAUGGAUUCCACGUGCUGUGCAGA